This 253-nucleotide ribosomal RNA is filed under the name uncultured bacterium. RNAcentral's name for it is "partial 16S ribosomal RNA". It matches the Rfam family "Bacterial small subunit ribosomal RNA", at positions 524 to 776 of the family's 1533-position model. The record is from RNAcentral.
UACGUAGGAUGCAAGCGUUGUCCGGAUUUACUGGGCGUAAAGCGCGCGCAGGCGGCACACCAAGUACCCUAUGAAGUCUCCCUGCUCAACGGGGAGGGUGUGGGGUAGACUGGUGAGCUAGAGGAGGGUAGAGGGGGGUAGAAUUGCUGGUGUAGCGGUGAAAUGCGUAGAGAUCAGCAGGAAUACCCGUGGCGAAGGCGGCCAGCUGGGCCGGGUCCGACACUGAGGCGCGAAAGCGUGGGGAGCAAACAGG